GCACCCCCUGCUCACCUUUGGAAAUGGCUUUAAAGACGAAGCCCAUGAAGAAGGUUCUGAAGACAAAAAAAGAAGAGAAACCUGCACAGGAAUCUUCAGUUGAACACAAAGCAAGAAACCCAGAUACGAUUGGCUGCGCUGCAGAAGGCGACUGAGUUACAGAAAACGCUUGCGAAGAUCAGGACUGCGUCUCCCAAACUUCCCAGAGAGGAUUUAUUCUGGAUUCCGGAUAACAAAAAGGUGUCCGUUGUGUAUCUGGUCUUCAACCCCGACGGACAAGUCAUUUCCACAAGGAGAGAGGCAGAUUGAUUUCAUCGCCGCACUCUAUCA
Molecule: long non-coding RNA, 330 nt
Organism: Xenopus laevis (African clawed frog)
Lineage: Eukaryota; Metazoa; Chordata; Amphibia; Anura; Pipidae
Exons: 4
Source: RefSeq, a predicted model, not a curated record